UUGGCGUGUUUCCAUAAAAUUUUCCGCUUUCCCUUGGCUUUUCUUCGAAUUAGUAGGUUACCAUGGUACAAAAAUCAAAAAUAAAGCACCUUGAAUAAGUUUUCCUUGAAUAUAAACGGUAUUGGCCUUGACUAUCCUUACCUGAAAAUCAAAAGUAAUCAAUCAAACGACAGUUUGGUGCAACUCCCAAGUCCCAACUCGGCCAUUUCUGUACUUUUCCAUAGAAUUUCAGCUAGUAUUUACAGACUAAAAUUAGAUUAGGCGAACGUCAACCAUUAUAGCUUCUUUUCCGAAACCACUGCAAUUGAUUUAAGCAUGUUUUGCAGGAUGUCGACUCAGAAAAAUCCAUAUCGUCAUCGAAAUUGUUUCGAUUCUUUUCCAAUGAAGAAACCCGAAACUCGCGAUAGAAAAAAACUCCAAGUUACAUCGCUUCAUUCGCAUGGGACAGCUGUAAAUCAACGUCGUCGAGCCAAAUUCAACGAAUGCUACUGCGAUACAUUAAAAAGAAACGCAUUUAGAGAUCAACGUGAUUUAGUUCAAGAAUCAGAUAUAGAGAUUUUGCACGAUAGAAAUCAUAUCUCGAACAUCUGCCACAAUGACGAGAUUAGUAGUAUAAAACGCGAUAAAUAUCGAUAUCCGCUGCCGGAGUUCUAUUUCAAUGACUCGGAUGAUUUUCUUCAAGGUUACGAUAACGUUGAUUCGCGAUUUUCUCUCAUUUAUACAUCUUUACCCUUAGUCAACAAUUAUAAACGGUGGUUGUCUGACAUCAUUGAAUAUCGUAGGAGAAACUGGAAGGAAUGCCAUGCGAAUUCUUUCGCUGUGUAAUUAAUUUAUAGAAUAAUAAAAUUUGAAAAAAAAACAUGUGUAUAUUUACAAAAAAGAAAUGCAUUAUAAAAACAAUACAAUGUAUAAAUAUCA
Molecule: long non-coding RNA, 918 nt
Organism: Planococcus citri (citrus mealybug)
Lineage: Eukaryota; Metazoa; Arthropoda; Insecta; Hemiptera; Pseudococcidae
Exons: 2
Source: RefSeq, a predicted model, not a curated record